Molecule: ribosomal RNA, 297 nt
Filed under: uncultured Chromatiaceae bacterium
Lineage: Bacteria; Pseudomonadati; Pseudomonadota; Gammaproteobacteria; Chromatiales; Chromatiaceae
Description: partial 16S ribosomal RNA
Rfam family: Bacterial small subunit ribosomal RNA
Source: RNAcentral
AGCCUGAUCCAGCWAUGCCGCGUGUGUGAAGAAGGCCUGCGGGUUGUAAAGCACUUUCAGUGGGGAAGAACGGUCCGGCGUUAAUAGCGCUGGAUCUUGACGUUACCCACAGAAGAAGCACCGGCUWACUCCGUGCCAGCAGCCGCGGUAAUACGGAGGGUGCAAGCGUUAAUCGGAAUCACUGGGCGUAAAGCGCGCGUAGGCGGUUUGGUAAGUCAGAUGUGAAAGCCCCGGGCUCAACCUGGGAACUGCAUUUGAUACUGCCUGGCUAGAGUAUGGUARAGGGGGGUGGAAUUC